This 505-nucleotide long non-coding RNA is filed under the name Cercocebus atys (sooty mangabey). RNAcentral's name for it is "lncRNA (ENSCATG00000045405.1)". The record is from RNAcentral. Lineage: Eukaryota; Metazoa; Chordata; Mammalia; Primates; Cercopithecidae.
UCUGAAAACAUGGCGCGGGGCUGUGACUGGCUGCCGGCCAGCGAAUGUCAGGGGCCCAGUCAGCCUCAGCUGCAGCGAGGAGCUGCCAGGGUUGUCGCCGUCGUCGUCGUAGCUUUGCUCCCUGUCUGUCUGUCUACACAUCACACACGAAGUGAAAGAACGUGCUUGGGAAUGGUCAACACCUGAAGCAGGAGAGGGGACCUCAGGAGAGGAUCCUGGAGGAGCGCGCAUGGACUUCUGCCGUAUGUGUAAAAAUUUUCUUUCUUAAACUGGGUGAAGAGGCCUUUUUAUGCGUCUCAAACACUCUUUUAGUGAAACUAAACUGAAGUACUUACAGAGUAGUUGAGCUGGGCGGACUGCACAAGAGACCAGGCACCAAUUGGCGUGAACUCUCCGGUUCUGGACCCACAUCCAGAAGUGUGUGAAGCCACCGCCCAGAGCCCGGCCAACGGUAAAUAGGGCUGUGACCUGGGAAUCUGACAGUUCCCGAGCGCCCCCUGUGUGU